UGAGGAACAUGACCUUCGGCGGGGGAUAGCCGGCCCAACGGCCGGGUAAUACCGCGUACGACCUUUUGGGGACAUCCCCGAUUGGUGAAAGCAGCAAUGCGCCGAAAGAGUGCCUCGCGGCCUAUCAGCUAGUUGGUGGGGUAAUGGCUCACCAAGGCGACAACGGGUAGCUGGUCUGAGAGGAUGGCCAGCCACAUUGGGACUGAGACACGGCCCAGACCUCCGUACGGGAGCAGCAGG
Molecule: ribosomal RNA, 240 nt
Filed under: uncultured bacterium
Lineage: Bacteria
Description: partial 16S ribosomal RNA
Rfam family: Bacterial small subunit ribosomal RNA
Source: RNAcentral